Molecule: ribosomal RNA, 466 nt
Filed under: uncultured bacterium
Lineage: Bacteria
Description: partial 16S ribosomal RNA
Rfam family: Bacterial small subunit ribosomal RNA
Source: RNAcentral
GGGGGGGGGGGGGGGCGGGCGGAACAGGGGCAGGUCGGGCGGGAGGGGCCAGGGGGGCUUGGGUACUCGAGGGGCGAACGGGGGAGUAGCACGUUGGGGGUCUGCCCUGCACUGCGGGAUAAUCCUGGGGGACUGGGGCUAAUACCGGAUAGGACCACGUGUUGGCUGGUGUGGUGGACAGAUUUUCGGUGUUGGGUGAGCUCGCGGCCUAGCAGCCUGUUGGUGGGGUAAUGGCCUACCAAGGCGUCGACGGGUAGCCGGCCUGAGACAGGGUACGGCCACAUUGGGACUGAGAUACGGCCCAGACUCCUACGGGAGGCAGCAGUGGGGAAUAUUGCACAAUGGGAGCAAGCCUGAUGCAGCGACGCCGCGUGGGGGAUGACGGCCUUCGGGUUGUAAACGCCUUUCGCUAGGGACGAAGCGUUAUGUGACGGUACCUGGAGAAGAAGCACCGGCUAACUACGUG